RNAcentral lists this ribosomal RNA (497 nucleotides) under uncultured bacterium. RNAcentral's name for it is "partial 16S ribosomal RNA". It matches the Rfam family "Bacterial small subunit ribosomal RNA", at positions 28 to 507 of the family's 1533-position model. The record is from RNAcentral.
GAUGAACGCUGGCGGCGUGCCUAAUACAUGCAAGUCGAGCGAACAGACGAGGAGCUUGCUCCUUUGACGUUAGCGGCGGACGGGUGAGUAACACAUACGUAACUUACCUAUAAGACUGGGAUAACUUCGGGAAACCGGAGCUAAGACCGGAUAAUAUUUCGAACCGCAUGGUUCGAUAGUGAAAGAUGGCUUUGCUAUCACUUAUACAUAGACAUGCGCCGAAUUAGCUAGUGGGUAAGGUAACGGCUCACCAAGGCAACGAUGCGUAGCCGAUCUGAGAGUGUGAUCGGUCACUCGGGAGAGGAGACGCGGACCAGGCUCGAAAGGGAGGCACGAUUAGCGAAUCUACGGAAGUGAGCGGAAGCGUGACGGAGCAACGCCGCGUGAGUGAUAAAGGGCUUCGGAGCGUGCAACACUGUUAUUAGGGAAGAACAAACUUGUAAGUAACUGUGCACGUCUUGACUGUACCUUAUCAGAAAGCCACGGCUAACUACGUG